CCUGGCCCAAGGCGGUUACCUUGGGCCUCAGAUUUUAGACGGCCUCAAAUUUUUGAGGCCCAUAGGGGAUGGAAAAAAUAAAAAAUAAAAAAAAGUUAGGGCAAGUUUCAGACGACACAAUCUGCUUCGACACUCCGCAAGGCGCAGCCUCCGCUAUCUCCUCAGGUGACAAGGAUCUACUUUAACCAGCUUAUUAGGAGCAGAACAAAACCAUUACUUUUGAAGUAAGAUUAGGAACAUAGUUCUGGUUCUCAAUCUUCAUCUCUGGCAGUUGACAUUCCUGGUAAUCAAGUUGUAGACGCAGAACUUGCACUUGCGGGGUGUUGUGUUUGCCCUUUUUUGACCUUCUUGUUCUAUUUGGAAUUGGACGAUUGCAUGACGGAGUUGAGUCCCUGGCAAAGUAUGGGCAUGUGGAUUGCAUGUUUUUUUUUUUAGGGUUUUUUGAUUGUUGGCUUCUCAAAGUACGUGCUUGAAUUUUAUACAAUGGACAAUGAGGUGGAGGAAGUGUGAAAAAUUGGAAGUCAACUUGCGCCAGGAAUUAACGAACAAUGUGAAGAUUGAUAUAUAUUUCUAGAAAAUAUUGAAUUUUCUUUUUAAUUUUGGCACGUUAAACAAUUAAUGAUGAAUUGUAAAUUAAUGCCUUACUCUUUUGAUAUCUUUAAUGGUGAAUUUAAAUAUGGAUUGUUUUUGGUAUUGGCAUUAAGUGUAAAUUUUUAGCAUUUUAUAUUAUUGUUUAGUUGAAACUGUGGCCAAGUUAUAUAUGUGAAUGGUUGGGUAGUAGAGCGCAUUUAUUAUAUAAAU
Cornus florida is the source of this 801-nucleotide long non-coding RNA. RefSeq lists it as uncharacterized. NCBI's taxonomy places the organism in Eukaryota, Viridiplantae, Streptophyta, Magnoliopsida, Cornales, Cornaceae. The record is from RefSeq and is a predicted model, not a curated record. The transcript has 4 exons.